GUUCACACUGGCCCUGGUGAUUUUAUUACUUUGUUGGCUUCUGUGCAAAGUCUUACCACCCAGGCUCUGCAAGGACCAAGAUAACGGCAAAAAUGAGGCCAGCAGAGAUGACCAUCUUUACAGACUCCCACGGCACCCAGCAUGACCCAUUAAAAAUCAGCUCCAGACCGGGCGGAAGAAAAACCUACUGCCAAAAAGGGAAUAAAACUGUUUCCCACCCCCUGCUUGGCCGUGAAAAUGCUUCCAAAGAAGAGGCAAGAGGUUAGUUGAAAACACAAGGAAUGUGGGCAGCUAAACUGUGCAUCCACCUCUUGCUGCCUUAAUG
This is a long non-coding RNA of Gallus gallus (chicken), 325 nucleotides long. NCBI's taxonomy places the organism in Eukaryota, Metazoa, Chordata, Aves, Galliformes, Phasianidae. The record is from Ensembl.